RNA transcript from Neltuma alba, 2667 nucleotides. It is a transcript of the gene named chloroplastic group IIA intron splicing facilitator CRS1, chloroplastic, with no coding region annotated. The record is from RefSeq and is a predicted model, not a curated record. Lineage: Eukaryota; Viridiplantae; Streptophyta; Magnoliopsida; Fabales; Fabaceae. The transcript has 9 exons.
GAUAAGAGCUGGAAGUAUCAGCCAUAGUCCCAUCUUCGUCUUCGGUUCUGCGCGCGAAACAGGCAAAGAACGCUCACGUCUUAUUCAUGCCUGCCAUGAUCUUCCUUUCUCUUCUUCCUCAGCUAUCUGGUAAUCCUAACAUCACAUUUUACUCCCUCUCAUUCCCAUAUUCUUCCACCACUACAUCCUUUUCUCCCCAGCCUCCUCCCAAAAACACCGUCAAAAAUCACCCUUUCAGCCUUUUCCCAAUUGCCUCGGCAGAGAACCCGAAUUCCCCUGUCUCGCCUGAGUCUAAGUCCCAUCCUGGUGCUCCCAUCAAAGCCCCCACGCCUCCGUGGAUGAAGGGUCCUCUGCUUGUUGAGCCUCAUGAAGUUCUUGACCUUUCUAAGCCCAAUGCCAAGAAGAGAUUCAAUAAGAGCGAGGUGGAACAAUCUGACAAGGCUUUGACUGCGAAGGAAAGUGGCGUCAGAGGGAAGAAGGCUAUGAAGAAAAUUGUCCAAGGCAUUGAAAAACUUCAGAAGGGUCAGAAUUACUCAACUGAUACGCAGAUGGGUCCUGCGCAAGCUGAAAUUGAGGAUACUUUAGAACAAUUCGAAAAAGACGGCGAUUUCGGAACUCGGGGUAGGAUGCCAUGGGAGAAAGAUGAGAGGAUUCAGUUUCGGAGGACGAAAAAGGAGAAGGCCGUGACUACUGCGGAUUUGACUCUUGAUAAGGCAUUGCUAAGGAGAUUAAGAACUGAUGCUGCUAGAGUGAGAACUUGGGUGAAGGUUAAGAAAGCUGGUGUUACUCAAGCUGUUGUUGAUGAAAUUAAACGCAUUUGGACUAGAAGUGAGCUUGCCAUGGUUAAAUUUGAUAUCCCAUUGUGCCGGAAUAUGGAUAGAGCUCGAGAAAUUGUCGAGUUUAAGACUGGAGGCUUGGUUGUCGGGAGUAAGAAAGAUACGCUUGUCAUUUACCGAGGCCAAAAUCAUCAGAUCACUCCUAAAGUUUCAGGAAAGAUUUAUACAAGAUACUAUCACAUUCAAAACGCAAACCAUCACGGAAUCAAUUUGUUGCAGUCAGAAACCAAGGACAAUCUUUACGAGUUUGACUUCCAUCAAAGUGGUGCUCAUGACAUGUUGAGGUGGAAAGCUGGUAGUGGAGACUUUGCAGUAACUGAUAUCCAUAACGAAGAAGAUGUGAAUUGCCAAACUGUGACUGGAUCCUUGUAUGAGAGGGAAACUGAUAGGUUACUGGAUGGCUUAGGACCCCGCUUCAUUGAUUGGUGGAUGCACAAGCCACUUCCAGUAGAUGGUGACUUACUUCCAGAAGUGGUUCCUGGAUUUGAGCCUCCAUUUAGGCUUUCUCCACCUUAUGCUAAUUCAAAACUGACGGAUAAUGAACUUACGUACUUUAGGAGGCUUGCUCACCCUUUGCCGGUCCAUUUUGUUCUUGGUAGGAACAGAAGACUACAGGGCUUGGCUUCUGCAAUUUUGAAGUUGUGGGAAAAGAGCCUUAUAGCAAAAAUUGCUGUGAAGUAUGGAGUUCUUAAUACUGACAAUGAAAAAAUGGCCAGUGAGCUGAAGCGUCUUACAGGAGGAACCCUGUUGCUGCGUAAUAAGUUUUAUAUAAUACUUUAUAGGGGCAAGGACUUCCUUCCUAGAAGAGUUACAGCUUUGGUGGAAAAGAGAGAAGAAGAGCUUAACGGCUGUCAACUUCACGAAGAAGUUUCACGGCUGAAAGCAGUUGAGGCUUUUUCACCAAUUGAUGAACCACAGCAGAACACUAGUACAAGUGGUACCUUAUCAGAGUUCAAGAAAAUCCAAAGAACGAUUUGGUAUGCCAAAAACGUCCAUGAAGAUGUAAAUGUUCAACUGGAAGCUGAAAUAGUCAGAUUGGAGAGGGAAUUGAAAAGGGGAGAGCGCCAACUAUUCAUACUUAAUAAGAAAAUAGAGAACUCAACAAAGGAAUUAUCAAAGUUAAAUGCUGCUUUUACACCUUCUGAGAAGGACUCAGACCUGGAAAUAAUGACAGAGGAAGAGAGACAAUGUUUCCAGAAGAUAGGACUGAAGAUGCGCAGUUGCUUAGUGCUUGGCAGGCGUGGGAUCUUUGAUGGUGUAUUGGAGGGCAUACAUCAGCACUGGAAGCACAGAGAAGUAGUAAAGAUCAUUACAAUGCAGAGAGUGUUUGGGCAGGUCAUCAACACAGCAAUAUCUCUCGAGGCAGAAAGUGGUGGGGUUCUAGUUUCUGUUGAUAAAUUAAAAGAAGGCCAUGCAAUAAUUAUUUACCGUGGAAAAAACUAUAGACGGCCUUCAGAAAGGGGGACAAAAAAUCUUCUAACGAAAAGAGAAGCAUUGCGUAGAUCUAUUGAAAUGCAGAGAAUUGGAUCAUUGAAGUUUUUUGCACAUCAAAGACAGCAGAGAAUCGCAGAUUUGAAGCUCAAACUGGCAGAUCUCCAGCAGAGAAAGGAAGUUGAGCAGAGGCAUAAAGAAAAUUAAUAUACAAAUUUACACAUCCCACUGGUUUGCUCUUAAUUUGUCUGCAAAUUCUGGGGGACAAGAAAUAGGAAAAUUUCUCCAAGCAUCAGUGUAUAGCAUAUUUUUGCGAGAUAUUCAAGGGAUGGCUUUCGAGGAACUGUUAAGGAUUGAAGGGGUCCUCCUAACAUUUCUACCACUUUACUCAUAGCUGGUC